This 250-nucleotide ribosomal RNA is filed under the name uncultured bacterium. RNAcentral's name for it is "partial 16S ribosomal RNA". It matches the Rfam family "Bacterial small subunit ribosomal RNA", at positions 83 to 334 of the family's 1533-position model. The record is from RNAcentral.
CCUUGAUGGCGACCGGCGCACGGGUGAGUAACACGUAUCCAACCUGCCGAUAACUCGGGGAUAGCCUUUCGAAAGAAAGAUUAAUACCCGAUGGUAUAAUCAGACCGCAUGGUUUGAUUAUUAAAGAAUUUCGGUUAUCGAUGGGGAUGCGUUCCAUUAGGCAGUUGGUGAGGUAACGGCUCACCAAACCUUCGAUGGAUAGGGGUUCUGAGAGGAAGGUCCCCCACAUUGGAACUGAGACACGGUCCAA